Molecule: long non-coding RNA, 1340 nt
Organism: Triticum aestivum (bread wheat)
Lineage: Eukaryota; Viridiplantae; Streptophyta; Magnoliopsida; Poales; Poaceae
Exons: 5
Source: RefSeq, a predicted model, not a curated record
GUAUUCAAGCUCCCAACAAAGUUACUACUGUUGUCACAGAAACAUAGUUCUGUUGUAUGUAUACUUAAUUUCCCAAGAUGUAGAUUUUAUUCUUAUCUUACAUGAUAUAUUUUUUCUUUUUCUGCUUGUGAAAAAACUCAGUUUAAAAAAAAAUAGGUCCUCAUUCUAAAGGAGUAACUUCUUGAACCAGCAGUAGAUAUUGUGUCGGGAAGGACGAGGAGCAGGAGCAUUGGUUCAGAUUUUCCCUGUUGGCCUUGUGUUUGUUUACCGAUUAUUGGCUUGACAUGAAGAUUGAUCAGUAUGUUUUCCAAGCUACAUGGCAUGUUGCAACGCUCUUCGGAGUCAAACCCUUGGGAUGGUCCCUCAAACAUGAUGGUCUAGCUAUUACAAAUUAACCAAGAUCAGCAGGACUAAGAAAAUACAUAUUUGACACUAUUUGAGAUGGUCCCUCAAACAGCCACGCCGCCACACCUGCCGACCCCUGUGCAGCACACCCACCCCUGCGCUCGGCCACCGUGGCGGCGGCGGCCCGGCUCCAGCGUGCCGGCGGCCGUGGCGGAGGCCCCGGAGGCGGUCGUCGGGGCGGGCGGCGCGAGGUGGGAGCCGAUGGGCGCGUGGGAGUACUACGACUACCGGUGGGCCAUCUACGGCGACAUCACGGACAAGGCCAUCCUCGUCGACGCCGCCGACACCAUCCUCGCCCCCACCGAGUCCAUGGCCCAGGUGUAUAGAACAGUAGGCGAAAAGUAUGGGGUGAAGUACUCGGAGGAUGAGAUCUUGAUGAGGACCUCGAGGCCUCGGAGAGCCCCUCCGAACAAGACGUGCACAGGAGCUCUGCCUUGACGGGGAAAGCAGCGAAGUUGGUGCAGUGGCGAAUGUGGGCGGGGUCGGCCGUGGAGGGAGACUUGCUGGUCGGAGCAGCAGGAGCAAGAAGGUUGAGGCGGUUCAGGGCAAGACAAGAACAUUUAGUUGGAUCCAGAGUAUUGAGAUUGCAGAGGACUCAACAAAGGAAAUUGAAUGCAUAUAAGGAUCGAGGACCUUUACAUUGGAUGCAUGAUGAUGAUCAUCCACCGAGCAGCACAUCAUCUUGGAAAAGCAGAUGCGAAUUUCUGCUAGGUUUCCUUCUCCGGUUGUCCCUCCCAUCAACUCUCUCAGCUCCCAAACCAUUAACCCCGUCCUGGUUGUUUCUAUAUUUUCUUUUUGUUUUGUUUUUACCAAUGCACUUUUCUUGACAUGUUUUAGUGUGUUCCUUCCUACGGCCAGCUCGACCAUUUGCUCCGGAGGGAGUUUUUAGCUCAGAAGGAGCAAAUAAUUUGAGAAUGCAUUGGUCUUUUCUGCAA